AGAGUUUGAUCCUGGCUCAGGAUAAACGCUGGCGGCGUGCCUAACACAUGCAAGUCGAACGCUUUGCGCAAGCAAGGAGUGGCGGACGGGUGAGGAACACGUGGGUUAUCUGCCUUCUGGUGAGGAAUACCGGCGAGAAAUCGCCGACAAUACCGCAUAGGCUUGGGCGACCAAGCAAAGUCGCAAGACGCCGGAAGAUGAGCCUGCGCCCGAUUAGCUAGCUGGUGGGGUAAAAGCCUACCAGGGCAACGAUCGGUAGCUGGUCUGAGAGGACGAUCAGCCACACUGGGAUUGAGAACGGCCCAGACUCCUACGGGGGGCAGCAGUGAGGAAUUUUCGUCAAUGGGGGCAACCCUGAACGAGCAACGCCGCGUGCAGGAAGAAGGUUUUCGGAUCGUAAACUGCUUUUCUGUGGGAAGAGAAGGGACGGUACCACAGGAAGAAGCCCCGGCUAACUACGUGCCAGCAGCCGCGGUAAUACGUAGGGGGCGAGCGUUGUCCGGAGUUACUGGGCGUAAAGGGCGUGCAGGCGGUGUAGUACGUUUGGAGUGACAGUGCCUGGCUUAACCGGGCAAGGUCUUCAAAAACGGCUGGACUUGAGGGCCAGAGAGGGACAUAGAAUUCCGGGUGGAGUGGUGAAUGCGUAGAUAUCCGGAGGAAUACCAAAGGCGAAGGCAGUGUCCUGGUUGGCAUCUGACGCUGAGGCGCGAAAGCCAGGGGAGCGAACAGGAUUAGAUACCCCCGUAGUCC
Molecule: ribosomal RNA, 750 nt
Filed under: uncultured bacterium
Lineage: Bacteria
Description: bacterial SSU rRNA
Rfam family: Bacterial small subunit ribosomal RNA
Source: RNAcentral